RNAcentral lists this ribosomal RNA (492 nucleotides) under uncultured bacterium. Its description in RNAcentral is "bacterial SSU rRNA". It matches the Rfam family "Bacterial small subunit ribosomal RNA", at positions 1 to 507 of the family's 1533-position model. The record is from RNAcentral.
CUACAGUACGAGUUUGAUCCUGGCUCAGAACGAACGCUAGCGGGAUGCUUCAAACAUGCAAGUCGUACGCGAAAGUGGGUUCGCCCACGAGUAGAGUGGCGCACGGGUGCGUAACACGUAACUAACGUACCUCAUCGCUGGGGGAUAACUCCGGGAAACCGGAGCUAAUACCGAAUGAUCUAACGGGGUCUGCGGGCUCUGUUGGUAAAGCCGUAAGGCGCGGUGAGACCGGGUUGCGGCCGAUUAGCUAGUUGGUAGGGUAACGGCCUACCAAGGCGACGAUCGGUAGCUGGUCUGAGAGGAUGAUCAGCCACACUGGAACUGGAACACGGUCCAGACUCCCACGGGAGGCAGCAGUGGGGAAUUUUGGACAAUGGGGGCAACCCUGAUCCAGCAAUGCCGCGUGAGUGAUGAAGGCCUUCGGGUUGUAAAGCUCUUUUACCAGGGAUGAUAAUGACAGUACCUGGAGAAUAAGCUCCGGCUAACUCCGUG